GACGAACGCUGGCGGCGUGCUUAACACAUGCAAGUCGAACGGUGAACUCCGCUUGCGGGGGGAUCAGUGGCGAACGGGUGAGUAACACGUGGGCAACCUGCCCUCAGCUCUGGGAUAACUCCAAGAAAUUGGGGCUAAUACCGGAUAUGACCGCUGACCGCAUGGUCUGGUGGUGGAAAGAUUUAUCGGCUGGGGAUGGGCCCGCGGCCUAUCAGCUUGUUGGUGGGGUAGUGGCCUACCAAGGCGACGACGGGUAGCCGGCCUGGGAGGGUGACCGGCCACACUGGGACUGAGACACGGCCCAGACUCCUACGGGAGGCAGCAGUGGGGAAUAUUGCGCAAUGGGCGAAAGCCUGACGCAGCGACGCCGCGUGGGGGAUGACGGCCUUCGGGUUGUAAACCUCUUUCAGCAGGGACGAAGCGAAAGUGACGUUACCUGCAGAAGAAGCACCGGCCAACUACGUG
RNAcentral lists this ribosomal RNA (465 nucleotides) under uncultured bacterium. Its description in RNAcentral is "partial 16S ribosomal RNA". It matches the Rfam family "Bacterial small subunit ribosomal RNA", at positions 28 to 507 of the family's 1533-position model. The record is from RNAcentral.